GCUAGCGUUGCUCGGAAUCACUGGGCGUAAAGCGCACGUAGGCGGAUUGUUAAGUCAGGGGUGAAAUCCUGGAGCUCAACUCCAGAACUGCCUUUGAUACUGGCGAUCUCGAGUCCGGGAGAGGUGAGUGGAACUGCGAGUGUAGAGGUGAAAUUCGUAGAUAUUCGCAAGAACACCAGUGGCGAAGGCGGCUCACUGGCCCGGUACUGACGCUGAGGUGCGAAAGCGUGGGGAGCAAACAGG
This 243-nucleotide ribosomal RNA is filed under the name uncultured bacterium. RNAcentral describes it as "partial 16S ribosomal RNA". It matches the Rfam family "Bacterial small subunit ribosomal RNA", at positions 534 to 776 of the family's 1533-position model. The record is from RNAcentral.